UGCCUUUUUGUACACAACAUGUGGUUAGGU
Molecule: non-coding RNA, 30 nt
Filed under: Mus musculus (house mouse)
Lineage: Eukaryota; Metazoa; Chordata; Mammalia; Rodentia; Muridae
Source: RNAcentral